RNAcentral lists this ribosomal RNA (462 nucleotides) under uncultured bacterium. RNAcentral describes it as "partial 16S ribosomal RNA". It matches the Rfam family "Bacterial small subunit ribosomal RNA", at positions 28 to 507 of the family's 1533-position model. The record is from RNAcentral.
GACGAACGCUGGCGGCGUGCUUAACACAUGCAAGUCGAACGGUGAAGCCCUUCGGGGUGGAUCAGUGGCGAACGGGUGAGUAACACGUGAGCAACCUGCCCCUGGCUCUGGGACAACCACUGGAAACGGUGGCUAAUACCGGAUACGACCCGCCUCGGCAUCGAGUGUGGGUGGAAAGUUUUUCGGCUGGGGAUGGGCCCGCGGCCUAUCAGCUUGUUGGUGAGGUGAAGGCUCACCAAGGCGACGACGGGUAGCCGGCCUGUGAGGGCGACCGGCCACACUGGGACUGAGAGACGGCCCAGACUCCUACGGGAGGCAGCAGUGGGGAAUAUUGCACAAUGGGCGAAAGCCUGAUGCAGCGACGCCGCGUGAGGGAUGACGGCCUUCGGGUUGUAAACCUCUUUCAGCUCCGAAGAAGCGAAAGUGACGGUAGGAGCAGAAGAAGCACCGGCUAACUACGUG